CCUACGGGAGGCAGCAGUGAGGAAUAUUGGUCAAUGGCCGAGAGGCUGAACCAACCAAGUCGCGUGAGGGAAGACGGCCCUACGGGUUGUAAACCUCUUUUGUCGGGGAGCAAAGCGAGUCACGUGUGACUCAUUGAGAGUACCCGAAGAAAAAGCAUCGGCUAACUCCGUGCCAGCAGCCGCGGUAAUACGGAGGAUGCGAGCGUUAUCCGGAUUUAUUGGGUUUAAAGGGUGCGCAGGCGGAGGUGCAAGUCAGCGGUCAAAUUGCGGGGCUCAACCCCGUACUGCCGUUGAAACUGCAGCCCUUGAGUGCGCGAGAAGUAUGCGGAAUGCGUGGUGUAGCGGUGAAAUGCAUAGAUAUCACGCAGAACUCCGAUUGCGAAGGCAGCAUACCGGCGCGCAACUGACGCUCAUGCACGAAAGCGUGGGUAUCGAACAGGAUUAGAUACCCGAGUAGUC
This 459-nucleotide ribosomal RNA is filed under the name uncultured bacterium. RNAcentral describes it as "partial 16S ribosomal RNA". It matches the Rfam family "Bacterial small subunit ribosomal RNA", at positions 338 to 795 of the family's 1533-position model. The record is from RNAcentral.